Molecule: ribosomal RNA, 741 nt
Filed under: uncultured cyanobacterium
Lineage: Bacteria; Bacillati; Cyanobacteriota
Description: bacterial SSU rRNA
Rfam family: Bacterial small subunit ribosomal RNA
Source: RNAcentral
AGAGUUUGAUCCUGGCUCAGGAUGAACGCUGGCGGUAUGCUUAACACAUGCAAGUCGAACGGAACCUUCGGGUUUAGUGGCGGACGGGUGAGUAACGCGUGAGAACCUACCUUCAGGACAGGGACAACAACUGGAAACGGUUGCUAAUACCUGAUGUGCCAAUGGUGAAAGAUUUAUCGCCUGAAGAUGGGCUCGCGACCGAUUAGCUAGUUGGAGUGGUAAUGGCACACCAAGGCGACGAUCGGUAGCUGGUCUGAGAGGAUGAUCAGCCACACUGGAACUGAGACACGGUCCAGACUCCUACGGGAGGCAGCAGUGGGGAAUUUUCCGCAAUGGGCGCAAGCCUGACGGAGCAAGACCGCGUGAGGGAGGAAGGCUCUUGGGUUGUAAACCUCUUUUAUCAGGGAAGAAGAUCUGACGGUACCUGAUGAAUCAGCAUCGGCUAACUCCGUGCCAGCAGCCGCGGUAAUACGGAGGAUGCAAGCGUUAUCCGGAUUUAUUGGGCGUAAAGCGUCCGCAGGUGGUUUGACAAGUCUGCUGUUAAAGCGCAGAGCUUAACUCUGUAACGGCGGUGGAAACUGUCAGACUAGAGUAUGGUAGGGGUAGCGGGAAUUCCCAGUGUAGCGGUGAAAUGCGUAGAUAUUGGGAAGAACACCAGCGGCGAAAGCGCGCUACUGGGCCAUAACUGACACUCAUGGACGAAAGCUAGGGGAGCGAAAGGGAUUAGAUACCCCUGUAGUC